Long non-coding RNA from Populus trichocarpa (black cottonwood), 714 nucleotides. RefSeq lists it as uncharacterized. The transcript has 2 exons. Lineage: Eukaryota; Viridiplantae; Streptophyta; Magnoliopsida; Malpighiales; Salicaceae. The record is from RefSeq and is a predicted model, not a curated record.
AAAAAAGUUGUCUUAUUCAAUAAUACAAAGGAGUGGGACACGGUGAUCAAUUAAUAAUGUCGUCUUGUGCACAUGUGAACUUUCAAGGUCAGUUCCCUUCCAAAGCUGCUAAUAUCAUGCAUGGCGCCUAUAAAUAAGAGUGGCAGCGAAGAGGCAAUGAUAAACACAAAUAUUUCAAACAUGAAAGCCUUUCUUGUGAUCAUAUGCAUUCUCUUAGCAACCAUCGUCUUCUCUCCCUCAUCCACUUGCACUGCGCGAGAAUUACUGGGCGGGAAAGAUCCACACACGGGAUGGCCCCCCGCCUCUUCAGGAUCUCCAUGCGGUGCUAAUAAAAAAAAAUGCCUCCCUAAUCCAAAUCCAGGACCGAAUAAACCAAAAAAACGUCGUUGUGAAUCUCCUAUAGAGCAAAGUGACUGUGAGCCAAAUUGAAGAUUGAAGGCGAGCAAAGUUGCAUGCGUUUUUAAGAGUGACAACAACUAGUCAUGUUAUAUAUAUAUGUGUGUGUGUGUGUGUGUGUGUGUGUGUGUGUGUGUUAUAUUUUGAUUCCAGAACUAUAUAUUUAUGUAAGAAAAAUAAAUUAACUUCAGUUCCCAGUACAUGGUGACAACAACUUGCAUCAUGAUAAGGUUUUGAUUUUUCUUGGUUUUGAUUCCAUGAAGUUGUGUAAUCUUUGUUGAAGUUUAUGCAAAAUAAAUAAAGAGCUUAAUUAGUCUA